This is a long non-coding RNA of Fopius arisanus, 1673 nucleotides long. RefSeq lists it as uncharacterized. Lineage: Eukaryota; Metazoa; Arthropoda; Insecta; Hymenoptera; Braconidae. The record is from RefSeq and is a predicted model, not a curated record. The transcript is spliced from 3 exons.
UUCGCAAAAAAAAAAAAACGAAACGAAUUGACUUAAAAGGAUUCGAAUAGAAUGGGUAGUGACUACUGUUAACCUACAGGAUAUUUUAAUGUGGAGAAUGAUUAUAACUUGAUAAAAAUUAAACUGGGGUGUGACGGGGCGUUGCCUGGGCGAAUGUGAAAAUCACCCCGAAAUCGUGGAAAAAGAGGUGAAUUUAAAAUUGUGUGGCUUGAUUUUUCAUCCCACCCCUAUAUCUCUAUUGGUAGGUAGGUAACCUACUUUCAAAGCCGUGUGCAAGAGAAACUGCAAUGUGCAGUGAUGAAGGAGGCAAAGGGGAGGAUUACCGAAAGAUCAAUAACUAUAUGCACUUGUUUCCCAUGUUCAUCCAUUUUACUCUUCUCUAGAUGAUCAUAUCAACGGUCACUCCCUAGUUGUCUAGGAUUUCGAACAGUUUGAAGUACACGUACAAUUGCACAUGCUGACCUAGUUUAAACAAAAUUUGGAAUAAUAAUUCAUUGCCAUGGGGCUAUUUAAAUCCACGAAGAAGAUUUCAGAGGGUGGGGAAAGCUGGAGAAGAGAAAAAAAAUCUUUCUGGCAGUCCGACCAAGUGAAAGGCACUAACUUUCUACACACCCAGCGCCAUCUGUUAUCUCAUGAUAAAAUCCACGAGAAUUUAAUUAUCGUUGAGAGAAUUUAAUGAUUGAUCGACCUCGAGAAUGCCGCCCAGGGAUGGUACGAUGUCUCACGGAUCUAACUGUACAGUUCACCGAAUUGAAGAGAGACAACAAAUUAGUAGAACAACACUAGCGUAGUUUAAAGCACACGGUGAAUGUUCUAGAAAUGAGGCCAAGGCGGAAGUCGCCAAUUCUACUGACCGAGCUGUUAACAUGGGACCUCUUCUGCUAGUAAGAGCACGUGUUUCAGACGUGUCCCAUAAUUUCAAUCACUCCUUAUCACCAGGCCAUAUCACACUAGUCGACACCGAAUUCCAAUCAUAUUCCAAAAUCGACAAAAACACACGUGCAGAAAAAUCAAGAAGAUAAAAUCAUACUCAACAUAUGUACAGAUAAACCGCCUGUACAAUGCCAUUCAUACAUUUUAACUAGUUAUUAGAUCUUCAUUGUUCAACUUCCCGCUUUAUCGAGUAGUUAUUGCAAAUGACCUCGAAAAUAGAAUGUCGUUUUCAAUUUUUAAUAAAUAUUCAAGACAUCUUUGUGAGUGCACCGACUCAGGCUACUUUAUAAAUAAAAAAAUUGAACUUUACCAUCAGAUAUUGUGUGCAAAAGCCAAAAGGUAUGAUUAGAAUUGUUAUCAGUCCUCGUAAAAUAUGAAUUCAAAUAAUAAUAAUGAUGACAGAAAUUGGAAUAAAAAUAAACUGAACAGAGAAUGGAAUCUGAUGAGAAAGGUCAGCCGUGUAUUAAGUGCUUUCACUUGAUCCAAGAAUCAUGGUGCAUCUUUUAUUGGCAUUUCUCAGUUUCUAGUUUGCUAGAGUCAAACUGUAGAAAACCGGCAAUGUUCAGGACAAUACAGGUACUACGGAUUAAGGUGACUGGCAUUCCUUACGGUAUCUAAGCUGUUUGUUGAAUGGCUGUUCAGCACACCAUAAUGCACAGACACACACCCUUCAACAAUUUACUUCACUUAUUCUCCUCUCCCACUCCUUGCACCUCAGAACUUCAUCUUUCUCUUUAUCA